GACAUGCGACAUACAAUAUACAAUUAAUCAUAUAUGUAAAAUUUUUCUUUUCCUUUUAAGAAAACCAUGAACUUUAAACAAAAAUAUUUUUAACUAUAACCUAUAAGUCCUAUAGUGUAAGUUUUGUGAAAGUUUGUUUGAUGAUUAUUGUUGUUCUGUUUUCCUAUUAUUCUUUUUCUAGUUAUGUUCAUCAAUUCUCGC
RNAcentral lists this long non-coding RNA (201 nucleotides) under Carica papaya (papaya). RNAcentral describes it as "long non-coding RNA (CPAP_LNC001450)". The record is from RNAcentral. Lineage: Eukaryota; Viridiplantae; Streptophyta; Magnoliopsida; Brassicales; Caricaceae.